This is a long non-coding RNA of Pyrus x bretschneideri (Chinese white pear), 5067 nucleotides long. RefSeq lists it as uncharacterized. The transcript has 16 exons. NCBI's taxonomy places the organism in Eukaryota, Viridiplantae, Streptophyta, Magnoliopsida, Rosales, Rosaceae. The record is from RefSeq and is a predicted model, not a curated record.
AUCUAAACUACACAUUAAUAAAAUUCUCUUUAUCAAUAAAAAAAAAUAAUGAAAAAACUAUUUAAUCUUUUAUCACAACAAAUCAAAAUUAAAAUCAAAAUUCCUAGAUAAUAUCAUGUGUUAAAAAAAAAAAAAAAUUUGAAGUCAAAUUAAAAGAUGAUUCAACGUUGUAAAUUUAUUAAGCGUGUUAAGCGUGUUGACAAAACAAUUGUAAAUUUUUAUAAUUUUUUUGGAUUUUUUUGGAUUUAAUCCAGGACGCACAAUUAAAGAAUUAAAUUUUUUUUUAAAUUUUAAUAUUAUUGCACCGGCGCCCCCCUUUUUUCUCUCUUCCCUCUUCCCGGUCGUCUUGGUCUGCAACACAGCAGAGCUCUGACUGAAAUGUCACCAUGAACCUGCACCGAAGCUACAGCCUUUAUCACCCAACUAAAGAUUUGGCACCAUCAUCUUCAUUUUUUCAUGCUGCUUCAUCAUCAUGAUAUGAAUUUGCCCCAAAUAUGCUAUUUUUCUCCCUUAAUUUUUGGUUUCUUUGAUUUUCCUUUAAAAAAAAUCUAUGUUCCGUUAAGCCGUGCAGAUUGCCGGUUCCCAGGUCGAGUUGGCCAGGUCUUUCUAUGGCCUGCAGGGCGUUCGCGACGGAAGUAGAGUCGCCAGUUCUUGAGCACCAGGAGAAAGGUGCGCACAAUAAAGGCACGAGGACAUGGUUGGGCCGCACCCCGAGCGGCGAUGGUUGUCGUGGGGAGCUGUGAGGAAUCGGAGGGGGAGGAAGGUUGGGGAAGCUAUAACGAUGGUGUAAAGAUGUCAGAUGGGUGAGGCUGGGGCGGAGAUCGGGGACUCCGGGACGAGAAUCUUGAGAGAUUUUCCCACGCUGCAACCCUAAAAGGCAUCAUUCAACAUUGUCGCAUAAUCGCUGCAAUCUCUUCCCUCUGAAUUCGCGAUGAGUGAUUCGCCACAGUCCUCUUCGGAGUCAGAAUUUGCCCGGUUUCUUGAGACUUGAGAGAGACCUGGAUGGUUCUUCGGAGCCAAGAGAUGAUACUAAAAGUACAAAGAAGGUACAGGAUCUUGGAAAGACUUUGGAAACUCGUUGGUCACUGUUUGUAGAAAAAAAAAAGCAGAAGUAUCCUCGAAGUGUACUCAUCCCGGUUCCUUUGAAGAUAUGUGUAUUGUGUGUGGGCUUCCCGUAAAUGGCAAGUUGUUUGGGGAUUAAUGCUUAAAAAUGAGGAAAUUGAGAGGGUAAACAAAUAAGGCAUUAAGAAAUUGUUGCACUGUAAUAAGCUUUACUUGAUCGUGGAUCUAGAUCACACACUGCUUUAUUCCACCGAUCUGAAUCAGAUGACAGCUGGAGAGGACUACUUGCAGAGCCAAACUGAUGUUGUGCAAGGUGUAUUCAAAGUGGACGUUAUGAAUAUGAUGACCAAGUUAAGGCCCUUUGUGAAGACAUUCUUGAAGGACGCCAAUGAAAUGUAUGAGAUGUAAUUGUAUACAACUGGUGAACGAGCCUUUGCGCUAGAAAUGGCGAAACUGCCUGAUCCGAGGAAAGAGUACUCUGGGAUAGAGUGAUAUCACAUAAUGAUGGUACUGAAGAACACGGUCUGGGUGUUGGACAAGAUAGUGCAGUCCUGAUCCUCAACGAUACAGGAAAUGGAUGAACAAAGCACUCGGCAAAUUUACUGUUGGUUGAAAAGUACCAGCCUAGAUUUGGGAGCGAUGAAACCGAAUCUGAGGGUGCUCUCGCAACGAUUCUCUAAGCACUCAAGCAAAUUCACAGAAUCUUCUUUCACGUUAUCAAGGCGGAGGCGUUGAAGGCCAAACCAGGAUUGUUUUCAAAGACUUCUUCGCUUCAGAUGCUUACCGUGCGUGGAAGCUGACAGAAAAUUUGGGAGCAUGCUACGCUGUACGGAAAGGAGUAACAGGUAUUCUGAUGAAGAUAUUUAUCCUACUGACAAGAUCAUCCAUGCACGAAGACAUCUGAAGAGUUAUCUCUUGGAAAGGAGAUAACUCUUCGUUUAUUGUUCAUGACUAUAUCUAGUUACACCGCCUUCUGUUUAAGUUGUAUGGAUAGAUGAAAACUACUUGGCUGAAGUCGUUUCAUUACUACGUAAGUUCUCAAUUAAGCAGCUUUUUAAUUCUUUACAAAAAAAAGUUUCUUAAAUAUAUUAUUCGUCCAUCAGGGGUUUUAGGCAUCGACAAGGUCUAUUUCAUAGGGAGCGACUAUAGUUGAUUUCAGAGAUUGAUCUAGUGGUCAACCAGGGAAGAAGAGGGAUAAGGCUUAGAGAUCGGGUUAUUUCAGUUUCAGUAUUUGAUUGACAUAUAUAGGUUGUUUCAGUUUCGAGUAUAAAACUCUUGUUUUGUAAUCAGUUUGAGAGGAAGAAGGCUUAGCAUCCCUCCCAAACUGAUUAUAAACAACAAUUUUAUACUAGAAACUGAAACAACCUACAUACUUCAAUCAAAUACUGAAACUGAAACAACUUGAUCUCUAAGCCUUCUCCUUAUUUUUCCCUGGCUGACCAUUGGACCACAUCUUUGAAAUCAACUCCGGUCGCUCCCUAUGAAAUAGACCUUGUCGGUGCCUAAAAAUAUUCUUCUGCUCCUCGGUAAAACCCCUGAUGGAUGAAUAAUAUAUUUAAGAAACUUUUUUUUGUAAAGAAUUAAAAAGCUGCUUAAUUGAGAACUUACGUAGUCAUGGAACGACUUCAGCCAAACAGUUUUCAUCUAUCCGUACAACUUAAACAGAAGGUGGUGAAACUGGAUAUAGUCAUGAACAAUAAACGAACAGUUAUCUCCUCCCCAGGAGAUAACUCUUCGGAUGUCUUCGUCCACGAAUGAUCUUGUCAAUAGUCUGAAUAUCUUCAUUUGAAUACCUGUUACUCCUUAGCAUAGCACGGGAUCAGAUGCUCCGCUAGUCUCUCAAUGUCCACGUCAUAAUAUAUAGGCAUUCUUGCGCUAUUCGAAGUCAGCGAUUUCCUGAUCUGGUGCUCUCAGUCGUUUGUAGAUGCAGAAAACCAAGGUUGUAAUAUAUAGGCACUCUUGCUUUUGCGUUGUGAUGCUAUUUAUGAACACACCGGUGUCAACAUCAGCGAUUUCCUGAUCUAGUGCUACUCUCUUUGUCAGGCUGUAAUACAUAGGGACUUUUGCUUUUUCCUUUUGAUGCUAUUUAUGAACACACCAGUGAUCUAGUGCUACUCUCUGUCAGGUUGUAAUAUAUAAGGACUUGUUUUUUUUUCCUUUUGAUACUUUUAUGAACACGCAAGUGUCAAAAUCAGCGGUUUCCUGAUUCUAGUGCUACCCUCGCUGUCAAGUAAAAAUAAAAUCAGUCUCUCAGUCUUUUGUAGAUGCAAAUAUCCAAGGUUGUAAUGUAUAGAGGCUCUUGCUUUUGCCUUCUCAUGCUAUUUAUGCACCAGUGUCAAAAUCAGCGUUUUCCAGAUCUAGUGUUGCCCUCUUUGUGAGUGGUUGACUGAUCUAAUAUUGGCUGGGUUUGUUAGGUGACAUCCUACAUAGCUACAGUCUCAUCAGCUUCCAUUUCCAGGCAGACCCUCCGACAUUCCCUUUUCUCCUCUUUUGGGACAUGACAGAAGAAGGAUUACCAUACAAAAAGGGGAUGACAGAAGGAUUACGAUACAAAAAGAAACAAAUUAAUGCCCAGAUAGUUUGAUGCAUACAUACCAUAAAUAUGUGUAUCAUAAUAAUUAAUUAAAUAAUAUAUACUACAUAUCAUGCAAACGAGAGAUUUUUCAAUGUGUUCGAAAUAUGGGCAUAUAUGCUACAUGUCAUUAUAAAAGUGAAGGGAUACUUAUAUAAUGGCGUAACGGCCCGUGUUCCAGACAUACUAAAAAAUGGAGCACACCCUUUUAGCCGAUUGCUUGGCCAUGUCUGCCACACCAUGAGAAAGUAUUAUUUUCUUCAAAACCUAGACAAUAAUUAACGGGGUAAUGCUAGGGAGAUAAAAUUUGAAAACUAAAGGACCUGGAAGUUGGUAAUUGAUUUAUUACUUAAACGUUGAUAAAUGUGCUCAUUAGAAUUAGUGAUACAUCAUUUAGUUUGUAAAUUUAGUUUAUAAACUUAGUCUACUUAACAUUACCCUAAUUAAUUUAUUUCGAGUAAUGAUAGGGAGACUAAAUCUAGAGACUAAAUUUGCAAAUUAAAUGAUGUGUCACCAAUAGAAAUAAGCACGUUUACCGACGUCUAAGUAAUAAACCAAUCGUCAAUUUUCGUGUUCUUUGGUUUUCAAAACUUCGUCUCCAAAUUUAAUCUUUCUAAUAUUACUCAAUUUCUUUCAUAUUCGUAAUGAUAUGAACUUGCUGAUUGGAUUUUCUUUUGUUUGUACUCAUUGAUGAUGACAGCCAAAUUUUCCGGUUUCAACUCAAAUCCGGGUUUUGUUGUGAAAUCUGGAGGUGGAAAGAGGAAACGUAAGCCCUUGUGGGUCACAGCGCAGUGCCAAAUAUGGACAGAAAUUUAUAAACUUUUUCUGGUGCCAUUAAUUACCUUUUACAACUGCCAGAUUUUCCUGGAUUCUGAUUUACUGCCCUUUUUUGGGUAAGAUUUUUUCUUUGUUUCCAAUGUGAAUGAAUGUAUUAAAUAGCUAGGGUUUGUGUUAGCUUUAUCUAGGCUGGCCCAAAUAGAGUUUUUGAUGUUCUUCUAUAUAUAUUGGUUUUUGUUUUGUUUCUUUGAGAGGAACUUGUUUUAGCUUCAGGAGGAGCAACAGAUUUGCUGCUUCCAUUUAUUUGCAGCGGGUUACUCGUCGAGGUAACAGUCGUUAUCUACUUAAAAGAUUUCACUUCAUGUAGUUUUAUUUAAUUGUUUCUUUCACUAAUGGUUUUCAUUUGCGAAACUGCCCCAGCAAUUACUAGUUGAUGUUGAAGAACUUGAAUUUUAUUUACGAGAAAUUCAUUUUGAUAAUGAAUUUGAAUCAUUAAAGAAGAUUUCGUAAAUUGUUUACGUCUUAAUAAGUGACGCAUAUUAUGAGAUUCUCUCUUUUUUAUUUUUUUGAAUUGUUAUGAAGGUGCAGUACCUACAUAUACUUUUCGAAUGCUUACCGUAAAUUGUUUAUGUGUUAAUAAGCGAUGUGUGCCCCGA